This 4623-nucleotide long non-coding RNA is filed under the name Canis lupus familiaris (dog). RNAcentral's name for it is "lncRNA (ENSCAFG00030003050.1)". Lineage: Eukaryota; Metazoa; Chordata; Mammalia; Carnivora; Canidae. The record is from RNAcentral.
CUCGCUUGCAAACCGCUUGACUGGUAUUUGACUCACCAGGGCCAAAGUCGUUUAGAAAGAGCGUCGUCUGUUGGCAAAGAUCGACUUUCCACCCAAAGAAGGCGACUUUUUCUAUUAUUGAGGCAAAUACAGGAGUAAACGAGACAUCCAGAGGGAGGUGGGCGGGAACGCGCUAGACGUAGCUCGCAGAUCUCAUCGUGGCGUAGGCUUUAGAGGAUCACAGACGCUCAUGGGGCAGCAGGGACGGCCAGCCCUCCGUUCCCCCACCUUCCAGGACAUACCUCCUCCUCCAGCCUCUCCCUGUGCCCCCCAAACAAGCCCGUAACUACACACGUGCACUUUGCAAGAUCUGGUCUCAAUUUCUCAUUCUGUGUCUCCGUCUGUUUUUUUUUUUUUUUUAUUUUCAAAGUGCGACUUUGGAUUUAAAUUGGACCCUGCAGCACCUGUCAGCGGGUGCAUGCAGCUCUGCUUGGUUCCUCCUAGAAUCAUGGGAGACUCUCUCAGACAGGCCAUUAGGAGUUCUUGUGUCCCUGAGGUCGGUCGUGGGGCGCUGCGGCUGGCCCCAGCGAGAACUGCGGCCCCUCUGCUCCUGCUCUGCAAGUUUCUCUACCCGGAGGCUUGGGCUGUCGCUGAUGCACAGGUUGUCCCGUCUCCCAGGAGCCCAUGUGGACAAGGGAGAGUGCGCAGACUCCGCAGGGGCCUCCAUGCCUGCCAUGAAUUCCUCCCACUUCCUUCUUGGGAUGAGGUAUCCAAAAAGGCCUUUGGCCCUUUCUGGGAAUGGAAGAAAGAGUAAAGUGAGGCAACGAGGGAGGAGACCCCCUGGAGAAAGACCGAGGAAGACUGCCCAUGUGCCGCGUUGGUGGACAGGAUGCUCCAUCAGGACCUGUCCCCCAGGAGCCCUGGAUUUGGGAAGCAUCACCCUGGAGGCCCAGGGUCACUCAGGAAUCCUGCCUCUGGGGAGGUUUGUCCUGAAAUGCACGCUUGUUCUGGGGCCUGGUUCCAAGACUUGUGUACAAACGCGUGGUGGUGCAUCCCAGCGGCUGAGACAGCCGAGGAGGACUGGCGGACGGUUCCGUGACCUGCCGGGUGGAGCCUGUGGCCUGGCCGGGGACAGCCUCGUGGUGCAGCAUCCUACCCCGCACCUGCUUGGACACUCAGAACACCUGUCCCGUGUUUCCCUGGUGGAGGGGGGUGUUUCCAGGUCUUGACUCUUACCAGUAAAGCUGCUCUGAAUAUUCUUACACGAGUCUUUGGUGAGGGUGGAGGGUAUACGUUUUCAUUUGUCCCCGUUGCUGGGCCAGGCGAGCGCUUCCCUCCAAGAGAAGCUGCCAGAUAGAUGCUUGUCGGCCAGAGCAGUUACACUCACAUCCACAACUGGCCUCUGCUGUUGGGUCCCGGCCUGUGUGUGAGCUAUCGGUCGCCCCCGGUCCGUCCAUGCUGGGGCUGAGGCCCGAGGGGAUCUCCUGGCGUUGCCCAAAUGUAUUUGGUCACAUAAGAUCUUAUGAUUCCGGUGGAGGAAAUACGCUGGCCUGGGAAAUCCUGCUGGCGGAGAAGCCGAGGCUGAGACGCUGCUGCCCGGGAUUCUGAUCUAGACUUGCUGGAAGUCCUAUGGGCAGGCUGAUCGCCACCAACCUGGGGAGCUCUUGGAGCAGCUAGUCCAGUCCCCUUCUCCUGGGCAGGGGCGUCCAUUUCCCACCUCCCGGGGCUGCUCCUGCUGGCCUCAGUGUGGGGGUGACGGGCCUGUCUCUGCUAGCCAGCAGCCAUACAGUCAGGCCCCAAAGUCGAGGGGAGAUCCUGGAGGAACCCAUACCCUGACGGAUGUGAAACUCUCUCAAAGCCAAAAGGCACCCUCGCUGACACUCAGGCUCCAUGAGCGACAGCUGUGAGCAGCUCCAGACACCAAUGCUGCACGCUAUCAGCUGUCAUGGACUUUACAGCCUGUGUCCCCCCACCCCAGCAGCCCCCGAGGCGGCUGCUGGCCUUACCUGCAUCCACCUGGCCUCAACUCACUUGCUGCAGAGCGUCUGCCAGGACUUCGAUGCCUCUCUAGGACUCUGGUGGGGGCGACCGGGUGGGAAUUCCUUGGAUCACUUUUGUUUCAAAGAGAAGGUGUGGAUGCAGGAUCCAGGAUGGACAACGAGUAGGUGCAGGUGCGGGAUCCAGGAUGGGCAACGAGAAGGUGCGGGUGCAGGAUCCAGGAUGGCAACUACUGGCUUUGGUGCUCGUGUGCUUAUGAGCUUCCUUCUCUAAGCCAGACAGAAUCAAGACUUGACCUUACUUGGGAGCUCCAAACAUGGACCCUGCCAGAAACAGGGAGCCGGUUACUUACCGGGGACUCUCCCCAACCAGCCCUGGGCUCAUGGAAGACACUGUGCCUUCCCUCCCGUGGUCCACACUUCUUGCCAGAAGAACCCAAUUCUGCAUCUAUGUAGCAGGGAGAGAGCAUUCCAGCUCCCAGGAGGAAGCAUUUCCAUAUCCAUUUGGUCUGAACUAGUCACAGCAAUAACCUCUCCUUUCCUUUGCCACUGAGUGUUUCGGGGGGACCGGGAAUGGGACCCUUCAAGGCAUAAAAAAAAUAAAAAGAGAGAGAAAAGAAAAGAUCAUCUGGAGACUUCAUAGGCUUUCCCCUGUCCCUUCCUUCCAGUCUGAGAUGUUGGUGUCAUGCCCAGAGCUCUGGUAGCUAUUUUGUAACCAUGACUUGUAACCAUGACUUUUGUAACCUGGGCAGCCAGCACCAGGGUUCAAGGCUGUUGUGCUGGGAAUGGAAAUGGGAGGUCAGGACGCACCUGGUUGGGGCGUCCUUUGGCCGGGGCACAGGCUCUGACUGCGUCUUCUGUGACACCGCUAAGUGCAUCCCUGUUAGAGCACCUCUGAGAUGGGCUUUCUCACAUUUGCAGCCCAAACCACUUGUAGGAAAUAUCUACGGGAUUACAGCCUGAGUGGGCACUUCUUCUUUUUUUUUUUUUUUUUUAAAUAUUUUAUUUAUUUAUUCAUGAGAGACACACAGAGAGAGGCAGAGUCAUAGGCAGAGGGAGAAGCAGGCUCCCUGCGGGGAGCCCGACAAAGGACUCGAUCCCAGGACCCCGGGAUCACGCUCUGAGCCGAAGGCAGGCACUCCACCACUGAGUCACCCAGGUGCUCCAACCUGUUAUCUUAAAAUAAUGAGGAUUUAAACCGUCCCCACAGUGCCCCAAAGAGCAAGGAUGCACCCAGGGCACUGGAUAGUCUUUGGGCCUGGGGCAGGGGGGGCCAGAAUUUCCUGAAACGUGUUGAGUGCGCCAGCCUCUGUCAGCCUCCCACUGUGCUGGGCCCUGAAGCCCUGGCUUGUAGGUAUAUUUGGCAGGAGGUUGGGAACACAGGAGGGAAAGAGGGAGGGACAGGGGGGUAGGGAAGAUGGGGCUGGGAGGCUCCCUGCAGGCAGCCCAGGCUGGACACGGGUCCCCACGGCCCAGGCUGCUGAGCAGGGCCAUGUUUUCACUGCCCGUCUAAUGGGAGUGAGCCUUCCGGGGCUGAGGGAACGCUUAUGGGGAGCGGGGCCUUUAAACGUGUUGUUGUGUUUCAGGGGGGCCGGCUCCAGGCCCUGAAACUCCAGACGCUGUGAUUAUUACCCGCGAUUCUUGUUAACAGCCUUUCCGUUUUCCGUGGGCGUCUCGUUGGGCCACACUCCCAGCCGCGAUCCAGUCGUGUCAGCUCUGACGACGCCAGUGGACGCGGCCUCUUCUGGAGGUUUCACUGCUUCUCCCCUUUCUCGGCUUUCAGUGCUGCACAGGUGAGCGGGAGAAGGGGGGACGUGGUGCGGGGCAGGGAUACGGCCCAGAGCAGGGACGGGCCGGCGGGGACGCAAGCCACCGGGCCUGGAGGCCCCCCUGCCCAGCCCUGGAGCUUCGGCCAGGCCUCCGCGGUGGUGCAGACAGCCCAGGGCAGCCCGCACUCGCGGCUUCCACGGCUCAGCCCAGCCAGCAGCCAGCGCGGACGUCCCAGCCUGUAACCCGCCGCGUGCUUUACACACGGUAGGGUCACCAGACGCAGCAGAUGGAAGUUUGGGAUACACUUAUUCUAAGGUUAUUUGCAGUUCAUCUGAAAUCCAACUUUUUUAAAAAAGAUUUGUUUAUUAAUUCAUGAGAGACACAGAGACGGAGAGAGGCAGAGACACAGGCAGAGGGAGAAGCAGGCUCCAUGCAGGGAGCCCGAUGUGGGACUCGAUCCUGGAUCUGGAGAUCACGACCCGAGCCGAAGGCAACUGCCCAACCACUGAGCCACCCAGGCAUUCCUGAAAUCCAACUUUAAAAGGGCCAUUGGGAUGUAAUCCAACAGCGAUCACAAGGGCUUUAAAUCUGGGUUCUAUGACCUAACACCCCGGGACUCAGUUUCUCAGCCUGUAAAAUGGACAAGACGACACCCAGCUCUCAGCCAUCACGGUGAUAGGACAGGGGAUACGUGAGAAGCCCCUUGGCUGAGCCUGGGCUCCUGGCGUGAGCCUGCUGUCCAGGGGUUGGGGGGACGUGGCCGCCUGUCUCCACGGGCCCUGGGGAAGAACUGAGCUGGCCCAGGACAGCUUGUCACGAUCCUGGUGACAAAGGUGACCACUUAUAACCAGAAUUCCUGGCCAGGAAUUGGCACAUG